This 476-nucleotide long non-coding RNA is filed under the name Homo sapiens (human). RNAcentral describes it as "HSALNT0108724". The record is from RNAcentral. Lineage: Eukaryota; Metazoa; Chordata; Mammalia; Primates; Hominidae.
AGCUGCUGCAGCGAGGCAGGCAGCCCCGGGCACCAUCACAGGUGCCAACUGUGUUACAGGCUAGGCCAGAUCACAAGCAGCUUCUGCUGUGGGCACCAGUGUCUGGACGAGGGGAACGCAGUAGCACCUGGAAACUAGGAGACAUCAGGAACCUCAGAGCCACAAAGAGGGUGUUAAAGCAUGUCACAGCCCUGGCGUGGGGAGCCGUGAGGUCUGGGCUCCCAGAAGGGCUGCAGCUCUUCUCUGCUUCUCAUCACCUGCAGUGCAGUGAGUGGGGGAGAGGCUGAAAUAAGAAUGGAUCCUACUUAGAUACAUCUAUAAAAAAAUGGUCACCCUGCUCUUGGAGUUCAGCAGUGGGCAGAUCAGUGAGCUUGGAAGGUGUCUCCACAGUUAUUCUUCUCCACAAACACAGUGAGUGUCCAAAACAUUCAUAUCUCUGUACUGUUUCUAGGCACUCUUCUGAAGCUAGAGCCACC